Molecule: ribosomal RNA, 388 nt
Filed under: uncultured bacterium
Lineage: Bacteria
Description: bacterial SSU rRNA
Rfam family: Bacterial small subunit ribosomal RNA
Source: RNAcentral
AUUGAACGCUGGCGGCAUGCCUUACACAUGCAAGUCGAACGGCAGCACGGGAGCAAUCCUGGUGGCGAGUGGCGAACGGGUGAGUAAUAUAUCGGAACGUGCCCGGUCGUGGGGAUAACGUAGCGAAAGCUACGCUAAUACCGCAUACGAUCUACGGAUGAAAGCGGGGGAUCGCAAGACCUCGCGCGAUUGGAGCGGCCGAUAUCAGAUUAGGUAGUUGGUGAGGUAAAGGCUCACCAAGCCGACGAUCUGUAGCUGGUCUGAGAGGACGACCAGCCACACUGGGACUGAGACACGGCCCAGACUCCUACGGGAGGCAGCAGUGGGGAAUUUUGGACAAUGGGCGCAAGCCUGAUCCAGCAAUGCCGCGUGCAGGAUGAAGGCCUGG